RNAcentral lists this ribosomal RNA (1364 nucleotides) under uncultured bacterium. RNAcentral's name for it is "bacterial SSU rRNA". It matches the Rfam family "Bacterial small subunit ribosomal RNA", at positions 8 to 1384 of the family's 1533-position model. The record is from RNAcentral.
AGAGUUUGAUCUUGGCUCAGGACGAACGCUGGCGGCGUGCCUAACACAUGCAAGUCGAACGGACUGAUUUGAGAGCUUGCUCUUGAAGAAAGUUAGUGGCGGACGGGUGAGUAACGCGUGAGUAACCUGCCUUUCAGAGGGGGAUAACAUUCUGAAAAGGAUGCUAAUACCGCAUAACAUCUUAGUAUCGCAUGGUAUUGAGAUCAAAGGAGCAAUCCGCUGGAAGAUGGACUCGCGUCCGAUUAGCUAGUUGGCGGGAUAAAGGCCCACCAAGGCGACGAUCGGUAGCCGGACUGAGAGGUUGAACGGCCACAUUGGGACUGAGACACGGCCCAGACUCCUACGGGAGGCAGCAGUGGGGGAUAUUGCACAAUGGGGGAAACCCUGAUGCAGCAACGCCGCGUGAAGGAUGAAGGUUUUCGGAUUGUAAACUUCUGUUCUUAGUGACGAUAAUGAAGGUAGCUAAGAAGAAAGCUCCGGCUAACUACGUGCCAGCAGCCGCGGUAAUACGUAGGGAGCGAGCGUUGUCCGGAUUUACUGGGUGUAAAGGGUGCGUAGGCGGCAGAGCAAGUCAGGCGUGAAAGCCAUGGGCUUAACCCAUGAACUGCGCUUGAGACUGUUUUGCUUGAGUGAAGUAGAGGCAGGCGGAAUUCCCGGUGUAGCGGUGAAAUGCGUAGAGAUCGGGAGGAACACCAGUGGCGAAGGCGGCCUGCUGGGCUUUAACUGACGCUGAGGCACGAAAGCAUGGGUAGCAAACAGGAUUAGAUACCCUGGUAGUCCAUGCCGUAAACGAUGAUUACUAGGUGUGGGGGGUGUGACCCCCUCCGUGCCGGAGUUAACACAAUAAGUAAUCCACCUGGGGAGUACGGCCGCAAGGUUGAAACUCAAAGGAAUUGACGGGGGCCCGCACAAGCAGUGGAAUAUGUGGUUUAAUUUGAAGCAACGCGAAGAACCUUACCAGGUCUUGACAUCCGACUAACGAAGUAGAGAUACAUUAGGUGCCCUUCGGGGAAAGUCGAGACAGGUGGUGCAUGGUUGUCGUCAGCUCGUGUCGUGAGAUGUUGGGUUAGGUCCCGCAACGAGCGCAACCCUUGUCCUUAGUUGCUACGCAAGAGCACUCUAAGGAGACUGCCGUUGACAAAACGGAGGAAGGUGGGGAGGACGUCAAAUCAUCAUGCCCCUUAUGACCUGGGCUACACACGUACUACAAUGGCCAUCAACAGAGGGAAGCAAAGCCGUGAGGUAGAGCAAACCCCUAAAAAUGGUCCCAGUUCAGAUUGUAGGCUGCAACUCGCCUACAUGAAGUCGGAAUUGCUAGUAAUCGCGGAUCAGAAUGCCGCGGUGAAAAAGUUCCCGGGCCUUGC